UACGUAGGGGGCAAGCGUUGUCCGGAAUUAUUGGGCGUAAAGCGCGCGCAGGCGGCUAUUUAAGUCUCAUGUUUAAAGCCAAGGCUCAACCUUGGAUCGCAUGGGAAACUGGGUGGCUUGAGUGUAGGAGAGGAAAGUGGAAUUCCACGUGUAGCGGUGAAAUGCGUAGAUAUGUGGAGGAACACCAGUGGCGAAGGCGACUUUCUGGUCUGUAACUGACACUGAGGCGCGAAAGCGUGGGGAGCAAACAGG
This 252-nucleotide ribosomal RNA is filed under the name uncultured bacterium. RNAcentral's name for it is "partial 16S ribosomal RNA". It matches the Rfam family "Bacterial small subunit ribosomal RNA", at positions 524 to 776 of the family's 1533-position model. The record is from RNAcentral.